CCCUUAGAUGUCCUGGGCCGCACGCGCGCUACACUGAUGCAUUCAACGAGUUCUUCCUUGGCCGAGAGGCCUGGGCAAUCUUUUGAACGUGCAUCGUGAUAGGGAUAGAUUAUUGCAAUUAUUAAUCUUGAACGAGGAAUUCCUAGUAAACGCAGAUCAUCAAUCUGCAUUGAUUACGUCCCUGCCCUUUGUACACACCGCCCGUCGCACCUACCGAUUGAAUGGUCCGGUGAAGCCUCGGGAUUGUGACAGGCUUCCUUUAUUGGAGGUCUGUCGCGAGAACUUGUCUAAACCUUAUCAUUUAGAGGAAGGUGAAGUCGUAACA
Molecule: ribosomal RNA, 325 nt
Filed under: uncultured eukaryote
Lineage: Eukaryota
Description: partial 18S ribosomal RNA
Rfam family: Eukaryotic small subunit ribosomal RNA
Source: RNAcentral